GAAAAUAGUGGAAAGUCCGUUCUCAAAAGAGGAAGCAUAGGCAAUUAUUAAAUCCGCCUGGAGCAUUGCUCCUCCAUUCGCAUAAAUGUGUAAUUGACAUGAUUACCAGAAUUCACAUAGGGCAUCACUUUCAAAAACCAACCACAAUUAUUAAAGAAACAACAUUUACGCGCCUAUGCACCGUUACUCUUCUAUAGUUGUAUAUAAAAAUUUGAAUCCAUUGCAUUUCUAAGCAACCAAAC
Molecule: unclassified non-coding RNA, 242 nt
Filed under: Hevea brasiliensis (rubber tree)
Lineage: Eukaryota; Viridiplantae; Streptophyta; Magnoliopsida; Malpighiales; Euphorbiaceae
Source: RNAcentral